AGUGAACGCUGGCGGUAGGCCUAACACAUGCAAGUCGAACGGCAGCACAGUAAGAGCUUGCUCUUACGGGUGGCGAGUGGCGGACGGGUGAGGAAUACAUCGGAAUCUACUUUUUCGUGGGGGAUAACGUAGGGAAACUUACGCUAAUACCGCAUACGACCUACGGGUGAAAGCAGGGGAUCUUCGGACCUUGCGCGAUUGAAUGAGCCGAUGUCGGAUUAGCUAGUUGGCGGGGUAAAGGCCCACCAAGGCGACGAUCCGUAGCUUGUCUGAGAGGAUGAUAGGCCACACUGGAACUGAGCCACGGUCCAGACUCCUACGGGAGGCAGCAGUGGGGAAUAUUGGACAAUGGGCGCAAGCCUGAUCCAGCCAUACCGAGUGGGUGAAGAAGGCCUUCGGGUUGUAAAGCCCUUUUGUUGGGAAAGAAAAGCAGCAGGUUAAUACCACGCUGUUCUGACGGUACCCAAAGAAUAAGCACCGGCUAACUUCGUG
RNAcentral lists this ribosomal RNA (492 nucleotides) under uncultured bacterium. RNAcentral describes it as "partial 16S ribosomal RNA". It matches the Rfam family "Bacterial small subunit ribosomal RNA", at positions 29 to 507 of the family's 1533-position model. The record is from RNAcentral.